AUUGAACGCUAGCGGGAGGCUUUACACAUGCAAGUCGAACGGCAGCGCGGACUUCGGUCUGGCGGCGAGUGGCGAACGGGUGAGUAAUGUAUCGGAACGUGCCUAGUAGCGGGGGAUAACGACGGGAAAGGGGAGCUAAUACCGCAUACGUCCUACGGGGGAAAGCGGGGGAUCGUCGGACCUUACACUAUCAGAUGGGCCUAGGUCGGAUUAGCUAGUUGGUGGGGUAAAGGCCUACCAAGGCGACGAUCCGUAACUGGUUUGAGAGGAAGAACAGGCACACCGGGAACUGGACACCGGCCCGGCCUCCAAGGGGGGGCAGAAGGGGGAAAUUUGGGAAAAGGGGGGAAACCCUAACCAAGCAAGCCGGGGGGGGCGAGGAAGGCCUCCGGGUGGUAAAGCAUUUUUGGCGGGAAAGAAAGGUCGCAGUUUAAACCCCCGUGGAACUGCCGGAACCUGAAGAAGAAGAACGGGUUACCUACGU
This 484-nucleotide ribosomal RNA is filed under the name uncultured bacterium. RNAcentral's name for it is "partial 16S ribosomal RNA". It matches the Rfam family "Bacterial small subunit ribosomal RNA", at positions 29 to 506 of the family's 1533-position model. The record is from RNAcentral.